Molecule: long non-coding RNA, 887 nt
Organism: Macadamia integrifolia
Lineage: Eukaryota; Viridiplantae; Streptophyta; Magnoliopsida; Proteales; Proteaceae
Exons: 2
Source: RefSeq, a predicted model, not a curated record
GACUUAGGCAUCAAUGAACAAAGGUAGAACAUCAUGUGGACCGAGCAAAUGGAUGAAACAAUGAUUCGACGCCUCCAAGUCCAAGUAUGGGAGGGGAAAAGAGAGGAAAUUCUUUCAAAGAGAUGGCUUACAAUUUUGUUGCUAAAGAGAAAGGAAAAUAAUUCAUGAAGUUGAGAAACAUGACUUGCCCCCUGUUUGAAGAACUUAAGGAAGUUGUGGGUGAAGAUCACGCCACAGGGGAAUUUUUUCAAUCAAACAGAUUUCCGUCAAAGAAAAGAUAAGGAAGAAAUUCAUAUGGAGAUCAGUGUGACUGAUGGCUGUGAAGAUUUAAACACCCAAGUCUCAAUGUCCACGUCUCAUUUUGGAGAGGGCAGUGGAGUUGGUGCAUCACAUGAUGUACAUCAAGAGAGAAAGAGAGUGAAGGUAGCAUUGGAUGGCCAAAUAUCUGUUCUUACUACCUCUAAAGAUCAUUUGGCAACUGUGGUCCAAGAGAGGCAUGACUCUCCUAAUGCAUUGUUAGAUGCCAUACUAGAAGUAGAUGGAUUUAGCAAAGAUAUACUUGACAUCGUCUUUGAUUUCCUCACAGUAAAUGAACCUCAAGAAAAUGCAUUAGUUAGGAAUGCAGAGCAAUAGAGGAGGUGGAUCUUGAGGUUUCUUGAUUAACGCCAUUGAUGUGGUAAGAUAAAUACAAUCAUUAGCUAUUUCAUUCAGGUUUAGGAUGUGAUUGGUUCUCACUUGGAACACAAUGAUUUGUAUUUAUUUGCCAUAGCAUCAGAGUUCAUAUGGACUGCAUCGAAAUGAACACAUUUCCGUUUAUCAACUGUCUGGAUGAGUAAUAGAAUUUGUUUCAUUCCUUAAAAAUGUAGAAUGAACUACUUUUUACUGAA